This 2029-nucleotide ribosomal RNA is filed under the name groundwater metagenome. RNAcentral's name for it is "bacterial LSU rRNA". It matches the Rfam family "Bacterial large subunit ribosomal RNA", at positions 3 to 1997 of the family's 2925-position model. The record is from RNAcentral.
UCAAGCUACUAAGGGCUGCUGAUGGAUGCCUAGGCAUCAAAAGGCGAGGAAGGACGUGACAGACUGCGAUAAGCUUCGGGGAAUAGUUGAAUAUAUAGUGAUCCGAAGAUUUCCGAAUGGGGGAACCCGGUAAGAGUAAUAUUUUAUCAUCUUUAUCUGAAUAAAUAGGGUAAAGAAGCGAGACCCGCUGAAGUGACACAUCUCAGUAAGCGGAGGAGAAGAAAUCUAGAAGAGAUUCCCUAAGUAGCGGCGAGCGAAAUGGGAAGAGCCCAAACCGGAAAUUUAUUUUCGGGGUUGUAGGACCUAUUACAAAGCGAAAGAUCUUUUAGCGGAAGGAAAUGGAAAGUUCUGCGAGACAAGGUGAAAGCCCUGUACGCGAAAAAAGAUGUUAGCGAGAUAGGCACCUGAGUAGGGCCGGCCACGUGGAAUCCGGUCUGAAUCUGGGGGGACCACCCUCCAAGGCUAAAUACUCAUUGAUGACCGAUAGUGAACAAGUACCGCGAGGGAAAGGUGAAAAGAACCCCUGUUAGGGGAGUGAAAUAGAAUCUGAAAUCAGCAGCUUACAAACGGUCGAAGGCCUAUGCCAUCUUUUAGAUGGAACGGCUGACGGCGUGCCUUUUGCAUGAUGAGCCAGCGAGUUAAGUUAUAGGGCAAGGUUAAGGGACAUAUGCGUUCCGGAGCCGGAGCGAAAGCGAGUGUGAAUAGCGCGUUAAGUCGUAUAACUUAGACACGAAACCAAGUGAUCUAUCCAUGGCCAGGAUGAAGCAAGGGUAACACCUUGUGGAGGUCCGAACUAGUGUCUGUUGAAAAAGCCUUGGAUGAGCUGUGGAUAGGGGUGAAAGGUCAAUCAAACUUGGAGAUAUCUUGUACUCUUCGAAAUAACUUUAGGGUUAACCUCAGUAACAAGCAAUUUGGGGGUAGAGCACUGGAUCCACGAGGGAGACUAACGUCUUACCGAAGGGAACCAAACUCCGAAUACCAAAUUGAAUACUGGGAGCUAGACUGCGGGGGAUAAGCUUCGUAGUCAAAAGGGGAACAGCCCAGAUCGUCGAUUAAGGCCCCUAAUUCUAUGCUAAGUGAGUAAGGAAGUGAAGUUUCAAAGACAGUUGGGAUGUUGGCUUAGAGGCAGCCAUCAUUUAAAGAGUGCGUAACAGCUCACCAAUCGAGAGACUUUGCGCCGAUAAUAAACGGGACUAAAGCAUAGAGCCGAAAUCACGGGUGCAAGCGUAAGCUUGCGCGGUAGGAGAGCGUAGUAUGUGCAUAGAAGAUAUACCGUGAGGAGUAUUGGAGCGCAUACUAGUGAGUAUGCAUGGCAUGAGUAAACGAUAAAGGAAGUGAAAAUCUUCCUCGCCGAAAACCUAAGGUUUCCAGGAUCAAGCUCGUCUUACCUGGGUUAGCCGGACCCUAAGCCGAGGCUGAAAAGCGUAGGCGAUGGGAAGCAGGUUAAAUAUUCCUGCGCCACCGUAGACGUAUACGAUGGGGUGACGAAGUAAGUUAAGCACGCGGACGAUUGGAAAUGUCCGUUUCGACACGCGGUUGGUAAGUAGGUAAAUCCGCUUACGAAAUACCGGAUGUUGGACAAAGGGAAUCCUUCGGGAGGAACUGAUGGUGUAGCGCGAUACUUCCAAGAAAUAGCCUCUAGUUGUCACAGGUGACCGUACCAAAACCGACACAGGUGGGUGUGAAGAAUAUUCUCAGGCGCGCGAGAGAACUCUCGUUAAGGAACUCUGCAAAUUAUCCUCGUAACUUCGGGAAAAGAGGAGCCGCGGUUCGUGAUUAUCUUCGCGAUGAAAGCGAAAAGCGGCCGAAGAGAAAUGGCCCAGGCGACUGUUUAACAAAAACACAGCACUCUGCCAAGUCGUCUAAGACGAUGUAUAGGGUGUGAUGCCUGCCCAAUGCCAAAAGGUCAAAAGGAGAUGUCAGCCGCAAGGUGAAGCAUUGAAUUUAAGCCCUGGUGAAUGGCGGCCGUAACUAUAACGGUCCUAAGGUAGCGAAAUUCCUUGUCGGGUAAGUUCCGACCUGCACGAAU